AGCCCCAUAGUCCAGUUGGUCAAAGACGCGGGACUCUGGAUCCCGAAACCCAGGUUCGAAUCCUGGUGGGGCUA
Molecule: transfer RNA, 74 nt
Filed under: Candidatus Pacearchaeota archaeon
Lineage: Archaea; Nanobdellati
Description: tRNA-Gln
Rfam family: tRNA
About the family: Transfer RNA (tRNA) molecules are approximately 80 nucleotides in length.
Source: RNAcentral